This 2709-nucleotide ribosomal RNA is filed under the name Klebsiella pneumoniae. Its description in RNAcentral is "bacterial LSU rRNA". It matches the Rfam family "Bacterial large subunit ribosomal RNA". Lineage: Bacteria; Pseudomonadati; Pseudomonadota; Gammaproteobacteria; Enterobacterales; Enterobacteriaceae. The record is from RNAcentral.
GAAACAUCUAAGUACCCCGAGGAAAAGAAAUCAACCGAGAUUCCCCCAGUAGCGGCGAGCGAACGGGGAGCAGCCCAGAGUCUGAAUCAGCUUGUGUGUUAGUGGAACGGUCUGGAAAGUCCGACGGUACAGGGUGAUAGUCCCGUACACCAAAAUGCACAGGUUGUGAACUCGAAGAGUAGGGCGGGACACGUGGUAUCCUGUCUGAAUAUGGGGGGACCAUCCUCCAAGGCUAAAUACUCCUGACUGACCGAUAGUGAACCAGUACCGUGAGGGAAAGGCGAAAAGAACCCCGGCGAGGGGAGUGAAAAAGAACCUGAAACCGUGUACGUACAAGCAGUGGGAGCACCUUCGGGUGUGACUGCGUACCUUUUGUAUAAUGGGUCAGCGACUUAUAUUCUGUAGCAAGGUUAACCGUAUAGGGGAGCCGCAGGGAAACCGAGUCUUAACUGGGCGUUAAGUUGCAGGGUAUAGACCCGAAACCCGGUGAUCUAGCCAUGGGCAGGUUGAAGGUUGGGUAACACUAACUGGAGGACCGAACCGACUAAUGUUGAAAAAUUAGCGGAUGACUUGUGGCUGGGGGUGAAAGGCCAAUCAAACCGGGAGAUAGCUGGUUCUCCCCGAAAGCUAUUUAGGUAGCGCCUCGUGAACUCAUCUUCGGGGGUAGAGCACUGUUUCGGCUAGGGGGUCAUCCCGACUUACCAACCCGAUGCAAACUACGAAUACCGAAGAAUGUUAUCACGGGAGACACACGGCGGGUGCUAACGUCCGUCGUGAAGAGGGAAACAACCCAGACCGCCAGCUAAGGUCCCAAAGUCAUGGUUAAGUGGGAAACGAUGUGGGAAGGCACAGACAGCCAGGAUGUUGGCUUAGAAGCAGCCAUCAUUUAAAGAAAGCGUAAUAGCUCACUGGUCGAGUCGGCCUGCGCGGAAGAUGUAACGGGGCUAAACCAUGCACCGAAGCUGCGGCAGCGACACUAUGUGUUGUUGGGUAGGGGAGCGUUCUGUAAGCCUGCGAAGGUGUGCUGUGAGGCAUGCUGGAGGUAUCAGAAGUGCGAAUGCUGACAUAAGUAACGAUAAAGCGGGUGAAAAGCCCGCUCGCCGGAAGACCAAGGGUUCCUGUCCAACGUUAAUCGGGGCAGGGUGAGUCGACCCCUAAGGCGAGGCCGAAAGGCGUAGUCGAUGGGAAACAGGUUAAUAUUCCUGUACUUGGUGUUACUGCGAAGGGGGGACGGAGAAGGCUAUGUUAGCCGGGCGACGGUUGUCCCGGUUUAAGCAUGUAGGCUGAUUGUCCAGGCAAAUCCGGAUAAUCAAGGCUGAGGUGUGAUGACGAGGCACUACGGUGCUGAAGUAACAAAUGCCCUGCUUCCAGGAAAAGCCUCUAAGCAUCAGGUAACAUUAAAUCGUACCCCAAACCGACACAGGUGGUCAGGUAGAGAAUACCAAGGCGCUUGAGAGAACUCGGGUGAAGGAACUAGGCAAAAUGGUGCCGUAACUUCGGGAGAAGGCACGCUGGUGUGUAGGUGAAGUCCCUGCGGAUGGAGCUGAGACCAGUCGAAGAUACCAGCUGGCUGCAACUGUUUAUUAAAAACACAGCACUGUGCAAACACGAAAGUGGACGUAUACGGUGUGACGCCUGCCCGGUGCCGGAAGGUUAAUUGAUGGGGUUAUCCGUAAGGAGAAGCUCUUGAUCGAAGCCCCGGUAAACGGCGGCCGUAACUAUAACGGUCCUAAGGUAGCGAAAUUCCUUGUCGGGUAAGUUCCGACCUGCACGAAUGGCGUAAUGAUGGCCAGGCUGUCUCCACCCGAGACUCAGUGAAAUUGAACUCGCUGUGAAGAUGCAGUGUACCCGCGGCAAGACGGAAAGACCCCGUGAACCUUUACUAUAGCUUGACACUGAACAUUGAGCCUUGAUGUGUAGGAUAGGUGGGAGGCUUUGAAGCGUGGACGCCAGUCUGCGUGGAGCCAACCUUGAAAUACCACCCUUUAAUGUUUGAUGUUCUAACGUUGGCCCCUGACCGGGGUUGCGGACAGUGUCUGGUGGGUAGUUUGACUGGGGCGGUCUCCUCCCAAAGCGUAACGGAGGAGCACGAAGGUUAGCUAAUCCUGGUCGGACAUCAGGAGGUUAGUGCAAUGGCAUAAGCUAGCUUGACUGCGAGCGUGACGGCGCGAGCAGGUGCGAAAGCAGGUCAUAGUGAUCCGGUGGUUCUGAAUGGAAGGGCCAUCGCUCAACGGAUAAAAGGUACUCCGGGGAUAACAGGCUGAUACCGCCCAAGAGUUCAUAUCGACGGCGGUGUUUGGCACCUCGAUGUCGGCUCAUCACAUCCUGGGGCUGAAGUAGGUCCCAAGGGUAUGGCUGUUCGCCAUUUAAAGUGGUACGCGAGCUGGGUUUAGAACGUCGUGAGACAGUUCGGUCCCUAUCUGCCGUGGGCGCUGGAGAAUUGAGGGGGGCUGCUCCUAGUACGAGAGGACCGGAGUGGACGCAUCACUGGUGUUCGGGUUGUCAUGCCAAUGGCACUGCCCGGUAGCUAAAUGCGGAAGAGAUAAGUGCUGAAAGCAUCUAAGCACGAAACUUGCCCCGAGAUGAGUUCUCCCUGAGACUUUAAGUCUCCUGAAGGAACGUUAAAGACGAUGACGUUGAUAGGCCGGGUGUGUAAGCGCAGCGAUGCGUUGAGCUAACCGGUACUAAUGAACCGUGAGGCUUAACCUU